UUGUGGCUGAUUGAUUUUUUUUUAUCAUCAAUGCACUUCACUGAAUCUCAAAACUGUUCAGUCGUUCAGCUCUGCAUAGAGUUAUGAAUAUGAGUGAAAUCAAAAUGUUUUGGCGUUGGAUUAUAAUAUGCAAUCAGCAAUUGCUUCAUGAGGGAACUAAAUGCCAACAGAAGUAAGAAACCUGUGCAGCCUGUUGAUGAUCCCUAUGGCACAAAUGCUGAAAUUGUUUUUGGGAAUUUCUCUGUCCCACUAGUGGACUUAUAUCCUGAAAGCAUUAAUCCAGAAGAAACAAAAUUUGGAGUUCCUGAAAGUGGAGAACAGAAUUCUGUUUCUGUGGUUGGGUAGUGCAAUACGAUGCGUAACAGAUGACAUUGGAAGCUUUUCCAUCUGAAGACAAGAUGCUUCAUCAAAGCACGUUGUAGCACUUACAGAGCAAUGAAUAUGCAAACUUCUAGUUCCUUUAGCUCAUUUUUGUUCAAUGUUUGUUUUUAUUUAAUUUUAGAAAUGGUGCUUUUCCUUUAUGUUGUAUUGUAAAAUUACAAAACUUUCUUAAAUAUGUUAUAGCUUGAUAUUCUUUAUAUUUAGUUUCUGUAAAUUACACUUGCAAAAAUUCACUUUGAAAUUAUUGAAACAUGUUGACUGAGAUGGAGGUACUGUAUAAUGGAGCAGGGAGUGUGAAGAAGAGAAACUUGCAAUUCAGUGCAGCUUUUAUGCAUUGGAGUGGCAGGACGCAGAAAAUGAUGAUCAUGGGAAGAGGGAAAAUAGUAAAGGAUCUCUGGACCCUGACAACCAGCCAAAUUGCUCUCAUAAAGCCAUAAGACAUAGGAGCAGAAUUAGGCCAUUCAGCCCAUCGAAUCUGCUCCACCAUUCCAUCAUGGCUGAUCUAUUAUCCCUCUCAAUGCCAUUCCCCUGUCUUCUAACCAUAACCUUGAAUACCCUGACUAAUCAAGAACUUAUUGACCUCCACUUUAAAUAGACACAAUACUUGGUCUCCACAGGCAUCUGUGGCAAAGAAUUAGGAGUUCCCACAAUCCAAAUUCCUCCCAAGAAUGGAGAAAACGCCAAGUCUGGGACACCAAAGGAGGGUAUAAGGGGAAUCUUGGCUGAACAGGAUACCUUAUAAGAAAGUCAUUGAUAUCUUUAUUCAAACGCUCUGUAAUCCAUGUAACUGGAACGUCACUGUUCAAAUGUGGUGAUAUCUGUUACACGUAUCCAUUGAUUUGUAUAUGACUGUAGUAUUCAUGAUCCUUCAGUGAAGUGACACCCAUUUCAAUGGAGAAUAAUAUAGCAAUAGAAGAUAUUUGAACUCAUUCUGCCCCGCACAUCUCAAUUUCACCUCAUUGCUAUUUCUAGCACUGGCUCCACUCUCCUGCCAAGCCUGCUAUGUUGUCACCAAAAUAUUGUCAAUGCUUGUGUUGGUUACAAAAACAAAUGAAGCAUUUCACUGUAAGUCUCAAUGCGCAUGUGAUAAAUAGAAUGAAUUUACAUGAAUCCUGCUUUCCUUAUAUUAAAGCUUCCACCAGUGUCUGUUUUGAAUGUACUCAGUGACAGACUGCACAGCCCUCUUAACAAGAGAAUUCUUAGGAUUCACUACCCUCUUGGUGAAGAAAUGUUCUUUGUUUCAGUCUAGAUAGGCUGUCUCUUGAUUUUUAGUCGGUGACACCAGUUUCAAACAUACAGCCAGAAGAAACAUUGUUCGAUCUCCCUGCCAAGCCCAAUAAGAAUAUGGGGUAUUUCAGUUCUUAGGCCUCUUACUUCCAGAACGUAUAGCCCAAACUGCUUAAUCCCUCAUUGUAAAACAGUCCCACCCUUUCCAUCCCAGAAUCAACUUUAUGAACUGUCAUCGCGCUUCUCCAAGAAAAUCCUUGCUCAAGUUGGGAGGGCAAACCUAAACAUUAUAUUCCUAUACACUUUCACCAGAAUCUUAUGUAAAUGUACUACAAUUACUUUAAUUUUUAUCAAAAUGAAUUUAUCUGAAGUAUUAAUACUAUAGUAAUUAUUAUCUACACUAU
This is a long non-coding RNA of Mobula hypostoma (lesser devil ray), 2012 nucleotides long. RefSeq lists it as uncharacterized. The record is from RefSeq and is a predicted model, not a curated record. NCBI's taxonomy places the organism in Eukaryota, Metazoa, Chordata, Chondrichthyes, Myliobatiformes, Myliobatidae. The transcript is spliced from 4 exons.